Molecule: non-coding RNA, 3206 nt
Organism: Homo sapiens (human)
Lineage: Eukaryota; Metazoa; Chordata; Mammalia; Primates; Hominidae
Source: RefSeq, a predicted model, not a curated record
GAAUUGCAUUCUUCAUGGAGAAACACAGACCGAAAAAGAUCUUCCAGCCCAGCAGCAAGAAAACCACCACUGACUUUUAGAAGUCGAGUGCAAACAGAACAGAAAGGUAGUGAACGCCACCUCCCCCUGACUCCUCUCUUUCUCUGGAAAUCUGCCCCAGGAGGUUUUGUGUUUCUUUCAUACAUUGUUUUUGCACAGAAAAAGUCUCUCUCAUGCACACAUGAGACUCCUGAGACCACCUCACUCCUGCCCUGCACACUUUGUGCACACUCCUGGAUCAGCGAUGCCCUUCUGUCUCCUGGCACACGCAGGCCACAGCCAGAGGCCACCCCCACCCCACUGGCAAGUUGGCGUCUGCAGGCAGAGUUCACGGGUCACUCAAUCCCAGGCCUGGGCCCAGCAGGGGCCUGAGUGGUCCUUGCCCACAAGGCGGACAGCCUUGAGGACCCAGGAGCCAGGACCAUGCUGCCGGGGCCUGAUCCCCAGCCUUGCGUAACUUCUGGCAACUUCUUGCUCUCUGCAUGCCCGUUUCCUUGUCUGUAAAAUGAUAGGAUUCAAUGAAGACACAGCUGGUUCAAGAGAUCUGUUGUACAACGUGGUGACUCUAGUUAGUGACAGUGUACACCUGCUUGAACAUUGCUACAUAGGAUCUUAAGUGUUCUUAUGGAAUGAGACCACCACUUCUCCUGUUGUCCUUCCCAGCUUCCCCACCUCCCCUUUUCCCUAGUUUAUAAGACAGUAGAAAAGGGAGAAAGCAAAAAGUUGGAAAGAAACAGAAGUAAGAUAAAUAGCUAGACGACCUUGGCGCCGCCACCUGGCCCUGGUGGUUAAAACAAUAAUAAUAAUAUUAACCCCUGACCAAAACUACUGGUGUUAUCUGUAAAUUCCAGACAUUGUAUGAGAAAGCACUGCAAAACUUUUUGUUCUGUUAGCUGAUGUAUGUAGCCCCUAGUCACGUUCCUCACACUUACUUGAUCUAUCAUGACCCUUUCACGUGGACCCCUUAGAGUUGUAAGCCCUUAAAAGGGCUAGGAAUUUCUUUUUCGGGGAGCUCAGCUCUUAAGACUUGAGUCUGCCGAUGCUACCAGCCGAAUAAAAACCUCUUCCUUCUCUUCCUUCUUUAAUCCGGGUCUGAGGAGUUUUGUCUGCGGCUCAUCCUGCUACAUUUCUUGGUUCCCUGACCGGGAAGCGAGGUGAUUACUGGAUGGUCGAGUCAGCCCCUUAGGCAGCUUAGGCCUGCCCUGUGGAGCAUCCCUGCGGGGGACUCCGGCCAGCUCGAGCGACGUGGAUCCUGAGAGCGUUCCCGGGUAGGCACUUGCCCCUGUGGAACGCCUCAUCAGAGCAGUGUAUGGCAGGCCCCCAUGGAGGAUCAACGCAGUGGCUGAACACCAGGAAGGAACUGGCACUUUAAGUCUGGACAUCUGAAACUUGUGACGCAGCAGUGUGUUACCUGCCGACAGCAUAAUGUGAGGCAAGGUCUAGCUGUUCCCCCCCGGCAUACAAGCUUAUAGAGCAGCCUCCUUUGAAGAUCUCCAGGUGGACUUCACAGAGAUGCCAAAGUGUGGAGGUGUUCGAGUGUGGAUCAAGGACUGGAACGUAGCCUCUUUGUGCCCAUGGUGGAAAGGACCCCAGACUGUCGUCCUGAUCACUCCCACUGCUGUGAACGUAGAGAGAAUCCUAGCCUGGAUCCAUCACAACCGUGUAAAACCUGCAGCGCCUGAAUCCUGGGAGGCAAGACCAAGUCUGGACAACCCCUGCAGAGUGACCCUGAAGAAGAUGACAAGCCCUGCUCCAGUCACACCCAGAAGCUGACUGGUCCACGCACAGCCGAAGCAUGAGGAAGCUCAUUGUGGGCUUCAUUUUUCUUAAAUUUUGGACUUACAGUAAGGGCUUCAACUGUUCUUACUCAAACUGGGGACUAUUCCCAGUGUAUUCAUCAGGUCAGUGAGGUAGGACAGCAAAUGAAAACAAUCUUUCUGUUCUAUAGUUAUUAUCAAUGUAUGGGAACGUUAAAAGAGACUUGUUUGUAUAAUGCCACUCAGUACAAGGUAUGUAGCCCAGGAAAUGACUGACCUGAUGUGUGUUAUAACCCAUCUGAGCCCCCUACAACCACCAGUUUUGAAAUAAGAUUAAGAACUGGCCUUUUCCUAGGUGAUACAAGUGAAAUAAUAACUAGAACAGAAGAAAAAGGAAUCCCCAAACAAGUAACUUUAAGAUUUGACGCUUGUGCAGCCAUUAAUAGUAACAAGCUAGGAACAGGAUGUGGUUCUCUUAACUGGGAAAGGAGCUACAGAGUAGAAAAUAAAUAUGUUUGUCAUGAGUCAGGGGUUUGUGAAAAUUGUGCCUUUUGGCCAUGUGUUAUUUAGGCUACUUGGAAAAAGAACAAAAAGGACUUGGUUCAUCUUCAGAAAGGGGAAGCCAACCCCUCCUGUGCUGCCAGUCACUGUAACCCACUAGAACUAAUAAUUACCAAUCCCCUAGAUCCCCAUUGGAAAAAGGGAGAAUGUGUAACCCUGGGGAUCAAAGGGACAGGGUUAAACCCCCAAGUUGCCAUUUUAGUUCAAGGGGAGGUCCACAAGCACUCUCCCAAACCAGUGUUUCAAACCUUUUAUGAGGAGUUAAAUCUGCCAGCACCAGAACUUCUGAAAAAGAUAAAAAAUUUGUUUCUCCAAUUAGCAGAAAAUGUAGCUCAUUCCCUUAAUGUUACUUCUUGUUAUAUAUGCGGGGGAACCACUAUCAGAGACCGAUGGCCUUGGGAAGCCUGAGAGUUGGUGCCCACUGAUCCAGCUCCUGAUAUAAUGGGGGCUUGUCCAGGAUCUCAUCAGGACUGGAUGGCUCUCGCUGGACUAUACUGGAUAUGUGGGCAGAGAGCCUACAUUCAGUUACCUAAUGAAUGGGCAGACAGUUGUGUUAUUGGCACUAUUAAGCCAUCCUUUUUCUUAUUACCGAUAAAAACUACUGGUACUAUCUGUAAAUUCCAGACAUUGUAUGAGAAAGCACUGUAAAACUUUUUGUUCUGUUAGCUGAUAUAUGUAGCCUCCAGUCACAUUCCUCAUGCUUACUUGAUCUAUCAUGACCCUUUCACGUGGACCCCUUAGAGUUGUAAGCCCUUAAAAGGGCUAGGAAUUUCUUUUUGGGGGAGCUUGGCUCUUAAGACAUGAGUCUGCCAAUGCUACCGGCCAAAUAAAAACCUCUUCCUUCUUUAA